AAUGAACGCUGGCGGCGCGCCUAAUACAUGCAAGUCGAGCGAGAAGACGUAGCAAUACGUUUGUAAAGCGGCGAACGGGUGAGGAAUACAUGGGUAACCUACCCUCGAGUGGGGAAGUAACUAGCCGAAAGGUUAGCUAAUACCGCGUACGCUCCUUGGACUUCGGUUCAGGGAGGAAAGCGAUACCGUGGGUAUCGCGCUCUUGGUUGGGCUCAUGUCCUAUCAGCUUGUUGGUGAGGAACGGCUUACCAAGGCUUCGACGGGUAGCUGGUCUGAGAGGACGAUCAGCCACACUGGCACUGCGACACGGGCCAGACUCCUACGGGAGGCAGCAGUAAGGAAUAUUGCGCAAUGGGCGAAAGCCUGACGCAGCGACGCCGCGUGGGGGAGUGAA
Molecule: ribosomal RNA, 394 nt
Filed under: uncultured bacterium
Lineage: Bacteria
Description: bacterial SSU rRNA
Rfam family: Bacterial small subunit ribosomal RNA
Source: RNAcentral